GUCUGCUGUUAAAAGUGGAGCUUAACUCCAUCGUGGCAGUGGAAACUGUUGGGCUACAGUGUAGUAGGGGCAGAGGGAAUUCCCGGUGUAGCGGUCUUAUGCGUAGAUAUCGGGAAGAACACCAGUGGCGAAGGCGCUCUGCUGGGCCAUAACUGACGCUCAUGGACGAAAGCCAGGGGAGCGAAAGGGAUUAGAUACCCCUGUAGUCCUGGCCGUAAACGAUGAACACUAGGUGUCGGGGGAAUCGACCCCCUCGGUGUCGUAGCCAACGCGUUAAGUGUUCCGCCUGGGGAGUACGCACGCAAGUGUGAAACUCAAAGGAAUUGACGGGGGCCCGCACAAGCGGUGGAGUAUGUGGUUUAAUUCGAUGCAACGCGAAGAACCUUACCAGGGUUUGACAUCCUGCGAAUCUCCUGGAAACGGGAGAGUGCCUUCGGGAACGCAGUGACAGGUGGUGCAUGGCUGUCGUCAGCUCGUGUCGUGAGAUGUUGGGUUAAGUCCCGCAACGAGCGCAACCCACGUCUUUAGUUGCCAGCAUUCAGUUGGGCACUCUAGAGAGACCGCCGGUGAUAAACCGGAGGAAGGUGUGGAUGACGUCAAGUCAUCAUGCCCCUUACAUCCUGGGCUACACACGUACUACAAUGCUACGGAUAAAGGGCAGCAAACUCGCGAGAGCUAGCAAAUCCCAUAAACCGUGGCUCAGUUCAGAUCGUAGGCUGCAACUCGCCUACGUGAAGGAGGAAUCGCUAGUAAUCGCAGGUCAGCAUACUGCGGUGAAUACGUUCCCGGGCCUUGUACACACCGCCCGUCACACCAUGGAAGUUGGCCACGCCCGAAGCCGUACUCCAACCCUUGUGGAAGAGACGUCGAGGUGGGGCUGAUGACUGGGGUGAAGUCGUAACA
This 903-nucleotide ribosomal RNA is filed under the name uncultured Synechococcus sp. RNAcentral's name for it is "bacterial SSU rRNA". It matches the Rfam family "Bacterial small subunit ribosomal RNA", at positions 587 to 1493 of the family's 1533-position model. Lineage: Bacteria; Bacillati; Cyanobacteriota; Cyanophyceae; Synechococcales; Synechococcaceae. The record is from RNAcentral.